This 683-nucleotide ribosomal RNA is filed under the name Graphis scripta. RNAcentral's name for it is "partial 26S large subunit ribosomal RNA". It matches the Rfam family "Eukaryotic large subunit ribosomal RNA", at positions 1 to 704 of the family's 3401-position model. Lineage: Eukaryota; Fungi; Ascomycota; Lecanoromycetes; Ostropales; Graphidaceae. The record is from RNAcentral.
GACCUCGGAUCAGAUAGGAAUACCCGCUGAACUUAAGCAUAUCAAUAAGCGGAGGAAAAGAAACCAACAGGGAUUGCCCUAGUAACGGCGAGUGAAGCGGCAACAGCUCAAAUUUGAAAUCUGGCCUUUUGGCCCGAGUUGUAAUUUGGAGAAGGUGCUUGGGAAGAGGCAAUGGUCCAAGUCCCUUGGAAAAGGGCGUCAUAGAGGGUGAGAAUCCCGUACUUGACCAAUUGUCGAUUCCAUGUGAAGCCCUUUCGACGAGUCGAGUUGUUUGGGAAUGCAGCUCUAAAUGGGUGGUAAAUUUCAUCUAAAGCUAAAUACCUGCCAGAGACCGAUAGCGCACAAGUAGAGUGAUCGAAAGAUGAAAAGCACUUUGAAAAGAGAGUCAAACAGUACGUGAAAUUGUUGAAAGGGAAGCGCUCGCAAUCAGACUCGUUUGCAGAAGCUCAGCCUUCCUUCGGGAUGGUGUACUCUUCUGUCAACGGGCCAGCAUCAGUCUUGGCGACCGGAUAAAGAUUCUGAGAACGUAGCUCUCUUGGGAGAGUGUUAUAGCUCGGAAUGUAAUGCGGCCAGCUGAGACUGAGGUCCGCGCUUUUGCUAGGAUGCUGGCGUAAUGGUUGCAAGCGACCCGUCUUGAAACACGGACCAAGGAGUCGACCAAUGACGCAAGUGUUUGGGUGUAA